UACGGAGGGUGCAAGCGUUAUCCGGAUUUACUGGGUUUAAAGGGUGCGUCGGCGGACAGGUAAGUCCGUGGUGAAAUCUCUGAGCUUACCUCAGACACUGCCAUGGAUACUAUUUGUCUUGAAUACUGUGGAGGUAAGCGGAAUAUGUCAUGUAGCGGUGAAAUGCUUAGAUAUGACAUGGAACACCAAUUGCGAAGGCAGCUUACUACACAAAUAUUGACGCUGAGGCACGAAAGCGUGGGGAGAAAACAGG
This 253-nucleotide ribosomal RNA is filed under the name uncultured bacterium. RNAcentral describes it as "partial 16S ribosomal RNA". It matches the Rfam family "Bacterial small subunit ribosomal RNA", at positions 524 to 776 of the family's 1533-position model. The record is from RNAcentral.